This 482-nucleotide ribosomal RNA is filed under the name uncultured bacterium. RNAcentral's name for it is "partial 16S ribosomal RNA". It matches the Rfam family "Bacterial small subunit ribosomal RNA", at positions 355 to 827 of the family's 1533-position model. The record is from RNAcentral.
UGGGGAAUUUUGGACAAUGGGCGCAAGCCUGAUCCAGCCAUGCCGCGUGCGGGAAGAAGGCCUUCGGGUUGUAAACCGCUUUGUCAGGGAAGAAAUCUUCUGAGUUAAUACCUCGGGAGGAUGACGGUACCUGAAGAAUAAGCACCGGCUAACUACGUGCCAGCAGCCGCGGUAAUACUAGGGUGCAAGCGUUAAUCGGAAUUACUGGGCGUAAAGCGUGCGCAAGGCGGUUUUGUAAGACAGAGGUGAAAUCCCCGGGCUCAACCUGGGAACUGCCUUUGUGGCUGCAAGGCUUGAGUGCGGCAGAGGGGGAUGGAAUUCCGCGUGUAGCAGUGAAAUGCGUAGAUAUGCGGAGAACACCGAUGGCGAAGGCAAUCCCCUGGGCCUGCACUGACGCUCGUGCACGAAAACGUGGGGGAGCAAAACAGGNUUAGAUACCCCUGGUAGUCCACGCCCUAAAACGAUGUCAACUGGUUGUUGGG